Molecule: ribosomal RNA, 1410 nt
Filed under: Triticum aestivum (bread wheat)
Lineage: Eukaryota; Viridiplantae; Streptophyta; Magnoliopsida; Poales; Poaceae
Description: partial small subunit ribosomal RNA
Source: RNAcentral
AUGGGCAGUGAACUGCUCACAGCAACGCUUGCGGCACCGGUGGAGCCUCCGUUGAUCCCAUCCACGACCACUACCACCACUACCACCGGCAACGGAACCACCACCAGAACCAUCACAACAAUCACCACCACCACAUGCUCCUCCUCUGCCGCCGAUGGCACCACUACCACCACCACCACAACCACCACCACCACCACAACAACAACAACCAUCACAACCACCUCCAACGCCACAACCAUAUCAUCCCUCUGUGAUGAUGACCUUCGCGAGAUCUUCCUCCGCCUCCCGAACCUCCCGGCUCUCAUCCGUGCGGCGCUCACCUGCCGCUCCUGGCUCGGAGCCAUCCGCUCUUCCUCAUCCUUCCGCCGCCUGUUCCGCGCCCUCCACCCGGCGCCCCUCAUUGGGCUCUUUCUUGAAAUUGACGAUGCUACCACCCCCUCCUUCGUCCCUCUGCGCCGGUCAGAUCCCGACGUCACCGCUGCCCUCCGCCGCGGGGACUUCUACCUCACUUCCCUACUCAAGGCUGGCGCAUCCUCGGCUUGGAGUAUCACCGACUGCCGUGAUGGAUACAUCCUCCUAUGGAACAUGCUCGAUAAGCCGUCCGUCGCCGCCGUGAACCCCAUGACCUGGGCUGUGGACAUCAUCCCGUUGCCCGACGGUGUCAAGGCCGGGAGACGCCGCAAUUUUGCCUACCUUGGCUUCCACCUGCUGUGUUCUGAUGAGAACCCCUGGUCGUUCCGUGUGGUCUGCGUCUGCUCGGAUCAGCGAAGGAUCCGCGUCGCCAUCUUCUCGUCGGAGACGUGGGAGUGGGUCGUCCACCCGUGGGUACACACUGGUGGUGACUGCAGCCUAAAGUUUGGUGCUGGAAUGGUGGUGGAUGGUUCUGUUUACUGGCCUUACCAUGGCCAAGGACGAAUGAUAAAGAUCAACGUAGCGACCAUGGUUAUCACCACUGUGGAGCUACCCUUGCAGGUGAUGGUGGAGGGGUACAAUUUCAUGGCCGGGGAGACUAAGGAUGGACAGUUAUGCAUUGUCUAUGAAUCUGGUUUCUUCCUGCAUGUUUGGAUCCGUGGUGUGGACGGUUAUGGACUUGAUAACUGGGUGCUGCAUAACAUGAUACCUUUGAGUGAAGAAAUCGACGAGAUCACUCAGGGGUUCGCUCUGGAGUUGCAGGGUGACCUCAAAGUUGUGCAGGUCAGGUUUGGAUACGUCUACUUGUCCACGACAUGCACGACCCCUGCCGGCACGCUCCACUGCUGGUUCUUCUCCCUGUCAUUGGACACCUUGGUGCUUGAGUUGCUCGUGGAGGGGAAAUUUAAUGGCUGUGCGCAUCCUUAUAACAUGGCCUGGCCUCCUUGUUUGGUUGGUGAUGAUGGGAGCAUAGGGCAUGAAGUUGAAGCUUCUCACUGA